AGUGAACGCUGGCGGUAGGCCUAACACAUGCAAGUCGAACGGCAGCACAGUAAGAGCUUGCUCUUACGGGUGGCGAGUGGCGGACGGGUGAGGAAUACAUCGGAAUCUACUUUUUCGUGGGGGAUAACGUAGGGAAACUUACGCUAAUACCGCAUACGACCUACGGGUGAAAGCAGGGGAUCUUCGGACCUUGCGCGAUUGAAUGAGCCGAUGUCGGAUUAGCUAGUUGGCGGGGUAAAGGCCCACCAAGGCGACGAUCCGUAGCUGGUCUGAGAGGAUGGUCAGCCGCACUGGAACUGAGACACGGUCCAGACGCCUACGGGAGGCAGCAGUGGGGAAUAUUGGACAAUGGGCGCAAGCCUGAUCCAGCCAUACCGCGUGGGUGAAGAAGGCCUUCGGGUUGUAAAGCCCUUUUGUUGGGAAAGAAAAGCAGCAGGUUAAUACCCCGCUGUUCUGACGGUACCCAAAGAAUAAGCACCGGCUAACUUCGUG
This 492-nucleotide ribosomal RNA is filed under the name uncultured bacterium. Its description in RNAcentral is "partial 16S ribosomal RNA". It matches the Rfam family "Bacterial small subunit ribosomal RNA", at positions 29 to 507 of the family's 1533-position model. The record is from RNAcentral.